AAAGUGCUAGUAACAAGAAUUACACUGCCUUGUCAAGACAGAAUUGUGGGUUAAACCCCCACGCACUUUA
This 70-nucleotide transfer RNA is filed under the name Moringua microchir (lesser thrush eel). Its description in RNAcentral is "tRNA-Asp". It matches the Rfam family "tRNA". Rfam says of the family: Transfer RNA (tRNA) molecules are approximately 80 nucleotides in length. Their secondary structure includes four short double-helical elements and three loops (D, anti-codon, and T loops). Lineage: Eukaryota; Metazoa; Chordata; Actinopteri; Anguilliformes; Moringuidae. The record is from RNAcentral.